RNAcentral lists this ribosomal RNA (271 nucleotides) under uncultured bacterium. Its description in RNAcentral is "partial 16S ribosomal RNA". It matches the Rfam family "Bacterial small subunit ribosomal RNA", at positions 1250 to 1500 of the family's 1533-position model. The record is from RNAcentral.
CGAGCCCGCGAGGGGGAGGCGAAUCCCAAAAAUAAACGUCCCAGUUCGGAUUGUAGUCUGCAACCCGACUACAUGAAGCUGGAAUCGCUAGUAAUCGCGGAUCAGAAUGCCGCGGUGAAUACGUUCCCGGGUCUUGUACACACCGCCCGUCACACCAUGGGAGUCGGAAAUGCCCGAAGUCAGUGACCCAACCACAACGUGAACUUCGUUCGCGUGGAGGGAGCUGCCGAAGGUGGAGCCGGUAACUGGGGUGAAGUCGUAACAAGGUAAC